AAACAAAAUGGGGAAAUUGAAGUUGGUGAGUAUGUUAGAAGAAAAUAAAGGUUGCCUAGGAAUGAUAUUGGUGCAGCUUACAUAUGCAGGCAUGGCUAUGUUCUCGAAAGUCGCCAUUGAUCGAGGAAUGAACCCUUACAUCUUCGUUGUUUAUCGCCAGGCGUUCGCAACCAUAACCUUAGCUCCAUUCGCCUUCUUUCUCGAUAGGAAGAACCUGAUCACCCUUUGUCCUACACCCUAAUCUUGAAGAUUUUCUUGAGUUCUUUCUUCGGCAUAACUUUGAGUUCGAAUCUAUACUCAUAUGCAAUAAACUACGUCUCCGCAACAUUUGCUUCCGUUGGCAUCAACACAAUUCCGGCUCUCACCUUUCUCAUCGCUGUUAUAUUUCGAUUUGAGACAUGUUCGAUAAGAACUUCAGCUGGAAUAGCGAAAUUUGUUGGUUCGGGUUUGAGCUUAUCGGGAGCAAUGGUGUAGGCCUUCGUAAAGGGCCUCUAGUUAGGUUGAUGAAAUGCUCAAAUUCAAUGAAUUCUAAGGAUUCCAAUGAGAAAUGGGUGCAUGGUUGCAUGCUUA
Molecule: long non-coding RNA, 570 nt
Organism: Salvia splendens (bonfire salvia)
Lineage: Eukaryota; Viridiplantae; Streptophyta; Magnoliopsida; Lamiales; Lamiaceae
Exons: 4
Source: RefSeq, a predicted model, not a curated record